GAUGAACGCUGGCGGCGUGUCUAAUACAUGCAAGUCGAGCGAUGCGGGGACGGGUGAGUCACACGUGGGUCACCUCCUAUAAGACUGGGAUGACAUCGGGAACCCGGAGCUAAACCGGAUACUUAUCGGUGGAUGCGCGGUGCACUGGCUAGUUGGUAAGGUAACGGCUUACCAAGGCAACGAUGCAUAGCCGACCUGCGAGUUUCAGCGUCCACACGGUAAAUGAGCCACGGUCCUGACGCCUACGCGACGCAUCAGUAGGGAAUGUGCCGCAAUGGGCGAAAGGCUGAAGGUGCAACGCAGAGUGAGUGAUGAAGGUCUGCGGAGCGUAAAACUCUGUUAUUAGGGAAGCGAUACCUAAGCAGAAAGCCACGGCUCACUGCUUUCCAGCAGCCGCGGUAAUAC
Molecule: ribosomal RNA, 405 nt
Filed under: uncultured bacterium
Lineage: Bacteria
Description: partial 16S ribosomal RNA
Rfam family: Bacterial small subunit ribosomal RNA
Source: RNAcentral